AAGCUGAUAAAGCCACCGGAAGGGAAGCGGCACUUCUCCAUGGCGUCUGCUUGAGUUCUCCUUUCUAGGGUCCUGCUUGAGUUCCUGCCCUGGCUUCCCUUGGUGAUGGACUGUGACAUAGAAAUUUUUUAGCUACUGUUCUAUGGCAGAAACAACUUGGGUCAGUGACUUUCCCAGGCUGCUAUGAGUUCAAUAGAAACCAAACAUUAACAGCAGCUCUUAGCUAAAAGAACAGAGAGACUGCCUACCACAGGGGCCCAUGGAAGAGCUGGAGGCAGCUUCCGCAGAUCCCUGUGGAGGCCAGAUGGGGGUGUCUGUCCCGCUGGAGUUUCAGGUGAUUGGGCGCUGGGAACAGAACAGAGCGUUGAAUCUUUUAACCUCAGAGACAUCUCUCCAGCCCCUCUAAAAUCCCAUCUUAAAUGUGACGAGUAUCCAAUAAAAAUAAUUUUCUCAGAA
This is a long non-coding RNA of Mesocricetus auratus (golden hamster), 456 nucleotides long. RefSeq lists it as uncharacterized. NCBI's taxonomy places the organism in Eukaryota, Metazoa, Chordata, Mammalia, Rodentia, Cricetidae. The transcript has 3 exons. The record is from RefSeq and is a predicted model, not a curated record.